AGCCUUAUAGUUGAUACACAACAUUAAGCUGCAAACUUAAAAGAGUAAUGUACUGAGGCUU
This 61-nucleotide transfer RNA is filed under the name Cirriformia cf. tentaculata HK-2018. Its description in RNAcentral is "tRNA-Cys". Lineage: Eukaryota; Metazoa; Annelida; Polychaeta; Terebellida; Cirratulidae. The record is from RNAcentral.